Molecule: transfer RNA, 77 nt
Filed under: Tsukamurella sp. PLM1
Lineage: Bacteria; Bacillati; Actinomycetota; Actinomycetes; Mycobacteriales; Tsukamurellaceae
Description: tRNA-Pro
Rfam family: tRNA
About the family: Transfer RNA (tRNA) molecules are approximately 80 nucleotides in length.
Source: RNAcentral
CGGGAUGUGGCGCAGCUUGGUAGCGCAUCUGCUUUGGGAGCAGAGGGUCGCAGGUUCAAAUCCUGUCAUCCCGACCA